UGCCCUUUCCCUGGAAGCCUUCCCUGACUGCCCUUUCCCUCUGGGGGCUCUCCCAGGAGCCCAGUCUGAAUCAUCAGGGGCCCUACCCUCCCGGAGUUGGCACCGUGUGGAAUCACUGAUGCCUCCACCGUGAGGCAGGUCUAAACAGGCAGAAGAACAGAGUCUGACACCUCAAACCCAGCUGUGAAGGAAUUACCCGGAUAAUUCGGAGAAAGCAGCCCCAGGGACCUGGCUUCUGGCUGCGUUGACUGUCUCCCCACCCGCCCCAGGUGAUACAGGAGCUCUGGUCCCUCUGCCCCGAUAAGGAAGCUGAGGCUCCAGGAGAUCAAGUGCCCGUGGUCACGCGGCGAGAGAGCGGCACAGCCAACACCGAAGCCUGAAUCCUCAACUGUGAGCGUGCCCCCACCUACCCAAGUCUUUUAUCGCUUGUUUAGAGAAGAGCGUUGCUGAGAUACCGUUCGUGUGCCAUGCAAUUCCCCCGUUCAAGUGCACAGUCCCAUCCGUGGCUUUCGGUAUCUCGAGCUGUGCAGCUCUCAGCGGUCAGUAGAGCCAGGUUGAGAAUGCUCUCGUCAUCUCGAAAAGCACCCCUUCCCCCUUCUCUGUCACCUCCAGUCCCCCUGCCCCCUCCCCUCCCCUGCCUUCUGUCCCUGUGGAUCUGCCCCUCCCGGACACCGCAUGUAAAUGGAAUCAGACAAAAUGUGGCCCGUUGUGUGUCCGGCUUCUUUCACGGAACAUCGUCCGCAUCGGGGCGUGUGUCAAGCUUUAUUCCUUUUACGGCCGAGUAAUGUUCCCUGAUGUGGACGGAUCGCAUAGUCAUGGGUUUGUCCGCGGAUGGACCCUUGAGUUGUUUCCACCUUUCGGUUAUUGUUACUAGUGCUGCCGUGAACGUUCCAGGCAGGUUUGCAGUUCUCUGGGGAGUCCCCGUUCCUAGGAAGCUGUUCUGGUGCCUGCCGCUGUGCCUUUCUCUUGCCGGGACUUCCCUCCCUGGGUUUCCCCCCUGCCCAGUCAGGUCUGACCUGUGCCUCCGGCCCCAGCACACAUCCCUUUUCUCACAGUGGUCACUCUCUGUUCUUCUCAGCUUCCGUCAGAGGCAGGGAGGUUGCUCGGCCCUUGCGUCCUUUGCCCCGUUACCCUCUUGCUGUGUGAUGUCGGGCUGCUCACUCAGCCUCUCUGGACCGCAGUGCCUUUAUCUGUGAAAUGAGGACCUAAGUCUGACCCCGUGGGGCUGCUGUGGGGGACGAGACAGUAAGAGUUCUGUGUGCUGGGAGCCUGGAGCGUUGAAGACGUGCCCUCUCCAGCCGGGGGUUCUUACCCGGCCCAAGUUCCAGCCCCAGGCAGGCCUUGGUUGUUGUCCUAAACCACCCUCGGCCUGCCUUCAAGGAGCAGUGCGAGAGUGCAGGUUUUCAACCGCGUGCAAGUUUACCGCCCAGACACAUUUAGCAAUGGGCCUCUUCCGUUGUCACGGUGGGGUGAGGGCUGCUCCUGGCAUCUGGCGGAUGGAGGCCAGGGCGGCUGCCAAGCGUCCUUCAGGGCACAGGACGGCCCCCAACGGAGAAAUAUCCACCCAGCUCCACCUGCUAACAGCGCCUGAUCGAACGAUAGUAUCGUCACUCCUUUAUCGUGUGUGCAUUUAUUUCUCGGUCAAAAUGCUUUUCGUUGACGUAGAUGGACACAGAACAUUGCGUCACUUUCAGGUUCUAGCCUGUGGAUGCGAUACUUGUAUAUGUUGUGAAAUGAUCGCCACGAUAAUUACUACUGUGCAAUUACUGUCACGCCACAGUCACAAAAACUUUUUCUUUUCUUUUGAUGAAUGCUCCGGAUCUGCUCUCUUAGCAGUUGUCAAAUACACACCUCGAUAGUAUUACU
Molecule: long non-coding RNA, 1866 nt
Organism: Leopardus geoffroyi (Geoffroy's cat)
Lineage: Eukaryota; Metazoa; Chordata; Mammalia; Carnivora; Felidae
Exons: 2
Source: RefSeq, a predicted model, not a curated record